This is a long non-coding RNA of Mesocricetus auratus (golden hamster), 364 nucleotides long. RefSeq lists it as uncharacterized. The transcript has 3 exons. Lineage: Eukaryota; Metazoa; Chordata; Mammalia; Rodentia; Cricetidae. The record is from RefSeq and is a predicted model, not a curated record.
GAAGCCUUCCCAUUCAGCCUGGGAUUACAGCUCCUGAGGCCUCUGUCACUGUCAGCUCCAACCUGGGGAGCAGUGUGGGAAAAUAUCUUGUCUUCCCUGGUCAGCUUUCAGACACAGAAGCCAGGCUGUGGCACACAAGUCCUGCCCUUGCAGCUAGCCGGCCUUCCCUCCCACCUGCCGAAGCCCUCAACUAGGAGUGCCUCAUGGGAAAGAUCCUGGUGUGAAAAGUCACUUCCAAGCUUGAUGCCAAACUAGGGGACAUGCAAGCUAACUCCUUGGAACCUCCAUUGCCUGAGUUAGAAAAUGGAGAGCCCUGUGUCCCUGUUGAAUCCUGGAGCAAAUUAAUAUAUCUAUAAAGCACAGA